This 497-nucleotide ribosomal RNA is filed under the name uncultured bacterium. RNAcentral describes it as "partial 16S ribosomal RNA". It matches the Rfam family "Bacterial small subunit ribosomal RNA", at positions 28 to 507 of the family's 1533-position model. The record is from RNAcentral.
GAUGAACGCUGGCGGCGUGCCUAAUACAUGCAAGUCGAGCGAACGGACGAGAAGCUUGCUUCUCUGAUGUUAGCGGCGGACGGGUGAGUAACACGUGGAUAACCUACCUAUAAGACUGUGAUAACUUCGGGAAACCGGAGCUAAUACCGGAUAAUAUUUUGAACCGCAUGGUUCAAAAGUGAAAGACGGUCUUGCUGUCACUUAUAGAUGGAUCCGCGCUGCAUUAGCUAGUUGGUAAGGUAACGGCUUACCAAGGCAACGAUGCAUAGCCGACCUGAGAGGGUGAUCGGCCACACUGGAACUGAGACACGGUCCAGACUCCUACGGGAGGCAGCAGUAGGGAAUCUUCCGCCAUGGGCGAAAGCCUGACGGCGCAACGCCGCGUGAGUGAUGAAGGUCUUCGGAUCGUAAAACUCUGUUAUUAGGGAAGAACAUAUGUGUAAGUAACUGUGCACAUCUUGACGGUACCUAAUCAGAAAGCCACGGCUAACUACGUG